UACGUGGGGGGCAAGCGUUGUUCGGAAUUACUGGGCGUAAAGGGCUCGUAGGCGGCCAACUAAGUCGGACGUGAAAUCCCUCGGCUUAACCGGGGAACUGCGUCCGAUACUGGAUGGCUUGAGUGUGGGAGAGGGAUGCGGAAUUCCAGGUGUAGCGGUGAAAUGCGUAGAUAUCUGGAGGAACACCGGUGGCGAAGGCGGCAUCCUGGACCACGACUGACGCUGAGUGAGCGAAAGCCAGGGGAGCAAACGGG
Molecule: ribosomal RNA, 254 nt
Filed under: uncultured bacterium
Lineage: Bacteria
Description: partial 16S ribosomal RNA
Rfam family: Bacterial small subunit ribosomal RNA
Source: RNAcentral